RNAcentral lists this ribosomal RNA (311 nucleotides) under uncultured eukaryote. Its description in RNAcentral is "partial 18S ribosomal RNA". It matches the Rfam family "Eukaryotic small subunit ribosomal RNA", at positions 1470 to 1796 of the family's 1831-position model. The record is from RNAcentral.
CCCCUAGACGUUCUGGGCUGCACGCGCGCUACAAUAAUACGCACAGCGAGUAUCACCGAGCUCGAAAGGGCAAGGUAAACAAUAGAAAAGGUACUGUAAUGGUUAUAGAUCCUUGUAAUUAUUGAUCUUCAACGAGGAAUUCCUAGUAAGUAUGUGUCAUCAUCACGCACUGAUUACGUCCCUGCCCUUUGUACACACCGCCCGUCGCUCCCACCGAUUGGGUGAGCCGAUGAAACUCUCGGAUGUAGGCUAUUCAUAGCCCGCAGAAGAGAUUUGAAUCGUAGCGCUUAGAGGAAGGAGAGGUCGUAACA